AGUGAACGCUGGCGGUAGGCCUAACACAUGCAAGUCGAACGGCAGCACAGUAAGAGCUUGCUCUUACGGGUGGCGAGUGGCGGACGGGUGAGGAAUACAUCGGAAUCUACUUUUUCGUGGGGGAUAACGUAGGGAAACUUACGCUAAUACCGCAUACGACCUACGGGUGAAAGCAGGGGAUCUUCGGACCUUGCGCGAUCGAAUGAGCCGAUGUCGGAUUAGCUAGUUGGCGGGGUAAAGGCCCACCAAGGCGACGAUCCGUAGCUGGUCUGAGAGGAUGAUCAGCCACACUGGCACUGAGACACGGUCCAGACUCCUACGGGAGGCAGCAGUGGGGAAUAUUGGACAAUGGGCGCAAGCCUGAUCCAGCCAUACCGCGUGGGUGAAGAAGGCCUUCGGGUUGUAAAGCCCUUUUGUUGGGAAAGAAAAGCAGCAGGUUAAUACCCCGCUGUUCUGACGGUACCCAAAGAAUAAGCACCGGCUAACUUCGUG
This 492-nucleotide ribosomal RNA is filed under the name uncultured bacterium. Its description in RNAcentral is "partial 16S ribosomal RNA". It matches the Rfam family "Bacterial small subunit ribosomal RNA", at positions 29 to 507 of the family's 1533-position model. The record is from RNAcentral.